CUCACACAAACGCCUAAUCCGCCCUUCGGCGGAGCGGGGGACCCACCCGCGAAUGCGGGCCGUGGGGUGAAUCUCGCCUCAGGCGAGUAGGCCAGCUCCUUCGGCCGAACCCGUCAGCUAACCUCGCAGGCGUAGAGGGAGAGGCUAG
Molecule: small RNA, 148 nt
Filed under: Chloroflexota bacterium
Lineage: Bacteria; Bacillati; Chloroflexota
Description: Chloroflexi bacterium c-di-AMP sequence
Rfam family: c-di-AMP riboswitch aptamer (ydaO/yuaA leader)
About the family: This family represents a conserved RNA structure found upstream of the ydaO and yuaA genes in Bacillus subtilis and related genes in other bacteria.
Source: RNAcentral